GGGCCCGCACAAGCAGUGGAGUAUGUGGUUUAAUUCGACGCAACGCGAAAAUCUUACCAGGGCUUGACAUCCCCGGAAGUUUAUGGAAACAUAGAUGUGCCUUCGGGAACCGGGUGACAGGUGGUGCAUGGUUGUCGUCAGCUCGUGUCGUGAGAUGUUGGGUUAAGUCCCGCAACGAGCGCAACCCUUGUCGUUUGUUGCUACAUUUAGUUGAGCACUCAAGCGAGACCGCCGAUUAUAAAUCGGAGGAAGGUGGGGAUGAUGUCAAAUCAUCAUGCCCCUUAUGUCCUGGGCUACACACGUCCUACAAUGGCCAAUACAGAGGGCAGCGAUGUCGCGAGGCAAAGCAAAAUCCCAAAAAAUUGGUCUCAGUUCGGAUUGCAGGCUGAAACUCGCCUGCAUGAAGCCGGAAUUGCUAGUAAUCGCGAAUCAGCAUGUCG
This 440-nucleotide ribosomal RNA is filed under the name uncultured Bacillota bacterium. RNAcentral describes it as "bacterial SSU rRNA". It matches the Rfam family "Bacterial small subunit ribosomal RNA", at positions 917 to 1359 of the family's 1533-position model. Lineage: Bacteria; Bacillati; Bacillota. The record is from RNAcentral.